This is an RNA transcript of Populus trichocarpa (black cottonwood), 3651 nucleotides long. It is a transcript of the gene named vacuolar sorting protein 3, with no coding region annotated. Lineage: Eukaryota; Viridiplantae; Streptophyta; Magnoliopsida; Malpighiales; Salicaceae. The transcript has 15 exons. The record is from RefSeq and is a predicted model, not a curated record.
ACGGUGGGAGUAACUUCCAAGACCAAAUGCAAGCUACCAAUGCUAUCUGAAGUCUGAACACAAGAAGAAAGGUACAAAUCACUCUCGAGUCUCGAUGCUCUGCAGCAGGCAAACUCAUCUAAACUCCAAUUCUAUAAAAUUCGAAACAGAUCAUCCCCUCAAUUUCCGUGUCUGCUAUGGCCGAUCCCACCACCACCCGAAUAGUCCUUGAACCAUCAUUCACCUUCGACCUCACCAUUCACUCUCACACUUCCAUAAAAUCCAUUGCAAUUUCACCAUUCUCAACGAAUUCUCAAUGUUUCAUUUACCUAGGCACUUCAUCUGGUUCCCUUCUCCUGCUUUCCACAUACCCAGAAAACCCAAAUGACAAAACCCCCACCAAAGACCCGAAAUCGACACUGGAUUUUGAUGUUUCGUUUCGAGACGUUUCGUUGUUAAAAUCAGUUUCUUUUGGUGACUCGCCGUUAGACACGGUUCUCUUGCUUGAUGAGAUUGGAAAGGUUGUUGUUCUCUGUGAUGGUUUUUUGUUUUUGACGGAUUCGGGUUUGGUUCAACCCGUUAAGAAACUGGGGUUUUUGAAAGGGGUUUCUUUCAUCACUAAGAGAAUUAAGAGUAGUGAAUUGGAGUGUAGUGAUUUAUUCAGUGAUAGUAGUUUGGAGGGUUCAAGUGCAAGUUCUCGAAUUUUGAGCAGAUUAGGAGGCGGGGUUAGAGCUAAUGGGGUUAAAGGUAAAGAUUUUGGGCAAAAAAGUGAGGGUGAUUAUGUUUUUGCUGCUGUGAUUGGGACAAAAAUGAUUUUAAUAGAGCUUAGAGUUGGUAAGAAUGACAAGGAGGUUGAUUUUACGGUUUUGAAAGAAAUGCAGUGUAUUGAUGGGGUUAAGACAAUAGUGUGGAUCAAUGAUUCCAUAAUUGUUGGCACGGUUAAUGGGUAUAGUUUGUUUUCGUGUGUUACAGGCCAAAGUGGGGUGAUUUUUACAAUGCCUGACGGGUCUAGUUUGCCAUUGCUUAAGUUGUUGCGGAAAGAAAAGAAGGUGUUGUUGUUGGUGGAUAAUGUUGGGAUUGUUGUUGAUGCCCAUGGGCAGCCAGUUGGAGGAAGUUUGGUAUUUCGUAAGGGUCCAGAUUCUGUUGGGGAGUUGGCUUCUUAUGUAGUGGUAGUGAGGGACGGGAAGAUGGAGUUGUAUCAUAAGAAAUCAGGUAGCCUUGUACAGACUGUUAGUUUUGGCAGUGAAGGAGUUGGGCCAUGUAUUGUUGCAGACGAGGAAAGUGGGAAUGGGACACUUGUUGCUGUUGCAACGCCCACCAAGGUUAUUUGCUACCGGAGAGUACCUACUGAAGAACAAAUCAAAGAUUUACUGAGAAAGAAAAAUUUUAAGGAAGCAAUCUCCAUGGUGGAGGAGCUUGAGAGCAAUGGUGAAAUGUCUAAUGAAAUGCUAUCCUUUGUUCAUGCUCAAGUGGGGUUCCUGCUGCUUUUUGACUUGCAUUUUGAGGAAGCUGUUAAUCACUUUCUACAAUCCGAGACAAUGCAACCUUCUGAAGUGUUUCCAUUUAUAAUGCGAGAUCCAAAUCGCUGGUCGCUGCUGAUUCCUAGGAACCGAUAUUGGGGUUUGCACCCCCCCCCUGCUCCUCUUGAAGAUGUUGUUGAUGAUGGGUUGAUGGCUAUCCAAAGAGCUAUUUUCCUUAAAAAAGCAGGUGUGGAUACUACAGUCAAUGAAAAUUUUCUCUUGAAUCCACCAACUAGAGCUGAUUUACUUGAGUUGGCAAUAAAAAAUAUGAGCAGAUAUCUUGAGGUUUCUCGUGAAAAAGAAUUGACUUCUUCAGUAAGAGAGGGAGUUGACACACUUCUAUUGUACCUCUAUAGAGCCCUAAACCGUGUCAAUGAUAUGGAAAAGCUUGCAUCUUCUGGAAACAGCUGUCUUGUGGAGGAGUUAGAAACUCUGUUAGAUGAAUCUGGGCAUUUACGGACGCUCGCCUUCUUAUAUGCAAGUAAAGGGAUGAGCUCAAAGGCUCUUGCCAUAUGGCGUAUUUUGGCAAGAAAUUAUUCUUCUGGUCUAUGGAAAGAUCCUGCUAUGGAGCAUGAAUUACCGGAUGGCAAUACAAAUAUUAUCUCAGGCAGAGAGAUCGCAGCAACUGAGGCAUCGAAAAUUCUUGCGGAGCUGUCUGAUCAGGAUUUGGUUUUGCAACAUCUUGGUUGGAUUGCAGAUGUUAACCCAGUACUCGCAGUUCAAGUUUUGACAUCAGAGAAAAGAGUAAAUCAGCUUUCACCAGAUGAAGUUAUUGCUGCCAUUGAUCCAAAAAAGGUUGAAAUUUUCCAAAGGUAUCUCCAGUGGUUGAUCGAAGAUCAAGACUCCUGUGACGCACAAUUCCACACACUGUAUGCACUCUCACUUGCAAAGUCAACAGUUGAAACCUUUGAGGUGGAAAGUACCUCCCAGGACCCUGAUGAUGGAAGGCUAGAGGAAACAAAAAUUUCUGAUUUUGGAAGAAACUCAAUCUUUCAAAGUCCUGUACGAGAAAGGUUGCAGAUAUUUUUACAGUCAUCAGACUUGUAUGAUCCGGAAGAGGUUCUUGACUUGAUUGAGGAAUCAGAGCUAUGGCUGGAAAAGGCUAUUCUAUACAGAAAAUUAGGGCAAGAGACUUUGGUGCUACAAAUUUUGGCCUUGAAGCUGGAGGAUAGUGAAGCUGCUGAACAAUAUUGUGCAGAGAUUGGCAGACCAGAUGCCUAUAUGCAGUUACUUGAUAUGUAUUUGGAUCCACAAAAUGGUAAAGAGCCCAUGUUUAAUGCUGCUGUUAGACUUCUGCAUAAUCAUGGAGAAUCAUUGGAUCCUUUGCAAGUUCUAGAGACAUUGUCCCCGGACAUGCCCCUCCAACUUGCCUCAGAUACGAUACUAAGAAUGUUGAGGGCUCGACUUCACCAUCAUCGCCAAGGACAAAUUGUGCAUAAUCUGUCCCGUGCUCUAGAUGUUGAUGCAAAACUUGCAAGAUUGGAGGAAAGAUCACGACACGUUCAGAUAAAUGAUGAGAGUGUCUGUGAUUCUUGUCAUGCCCGUCUAGGAACUAAACUGUUUGCAAUGUACCCUGAUGACACUGUUGUCUGUUACAAGUGUUUCCGUCGUCUUGGAGAGUCCACUUCUGUCACAGGUCGUGACUUCAAGCGAGAUCCUUUGUUCAAGCCAGGUUGGCUUGUUAACCGCUGAUCUAGAAAUGGGUUUUGCGUAGUGGAAUAAAAAAUGGUUUUUGAGUACACGAGAGUCAUACUCUAGUGACACUAUGAUGCGAAUGUCAUUGCAGCUCCUCCUUUUCUUCCCCUUUCAUUUUGGGUGGGGGGAGAGGGGAGCUUUCUCGUAUAGGAGGAGGUCAAAUGUGUGUAUGAACUAGAGAUCUAGCUCCUGAAGUAGAUUGUUUUGAAGUCGAGACGCUCCUCCCAUGGUUGCCCUCGGUAUUCAUAUUUCUGGAAGCUGGAGGAGGGUUGACUGUUUCUCUGCCUUGGAAUCGGAAGGCCUUUUGCUGUGACAGAGGGAGAGAGACCAUUAGACCUCGAUGUCUUAAAACAAAUUGAAAGAAAAUUCCUAUAAAUUCGCGAAAUUCGAGAAAUUGAAUCUUGUAACUGUGAUUUCUUUUCAAGUGGAGUAAUGGAUUAUGCUAACCAUUCGUCAA